ACAGUACUAGGAACAGAGCUGUUUACCAACUGCACAAUGACUGAAUGGUAGGAGGAGAGCUUACAGUCUAUGAUCAUAGUGAAGGAAAACCAAAUUAUGGCAAGUAAGAACUAAGACGCUCAUUUAUCAAGAGCGUACAUUACAAAAUUAGCUGCUGACAGCCACCACUAGAGGGAGCUCAGUGCAUAGGAUUUUAUACAUUUACUAUUGAACUCCAUGGUAGCU
Molecule: long non-coding RNA, 225 nt
Organism: Bufo bufo (common toad)
Lineage: Eukaryota; Metazoa; Chordata; Amphibia; Anura; Bufonidae
Exons: 3
Source: RefSeq, a predicted model, not a curated record